AAUCUAUCAACACUCCACAACACUGUGCACAAACCAUGUUGGCCUCGCCUCACGUCAUGUGAGGCGUUGGUCUUUUGCCAACCAACCAAAACCAAACCAAUAACCAACUAACAACUGAGGAUGCAGCUUAGAGCUUCAUCUUCGCAAACCAAGA
This 154-nucleotide unclassified non-coding RNA is filed under the name Volvox ferrisii. Its description in RNAcentral is "ITS1". Lineage: Eukaryota; Viridiplantae; Chlorophyta; Chlorophyceae; Chlamydomonadales; Volvocaceae. The record is from RNAcentral.